CCGUCUUCUUGUUUUCGAAACCCCACUUCAUUAGAGAUUGAGUUUGAAACCUUCAUUUACAUCUAGUAUUUUAGUACUUGUUCUACUUGUUCUUGCUGGUUCUUCGAUUGCUUGCAGGACGAGUGCCCUAGUGGCCGGGUGUUGCGCUCCACAAGAUCGUGACAACCAUUGGAGGCGGUGUAUCGGUUGCUAAGGCGCGGCCUUAGAAGGCUGUAGUCGGGCCG
Molecule: long non-coding RNA, 224 nt
Filed under: Sorghum bicolor (sorghum)
Lineage: Eukaryota; Viridiplantae; Streptophyta; Magnoliopsida; Poales; Poaceae
Description: long non-coding RNA (SBIC_LNC002878)
Source: RNAcentral